This is a non-coding RNA of Taeniopygia guttata (zebra finch), 3683 nucleotides long. Lineage: Eukaryota; Metazoa; Chordata; Aves; Passeriformes; Estrildidae. The record is from RefSeq and is a predicted model, not a curated record.
AGCUCAUCUGCAAGAGAAGAAGAGGGAGAGUUAAUGGUGACCAAAGGGCUGUGAUCCUUCCUUCUCCCCUUGAUGCAGGAGCAGAGCUGGCCCUGGAAAAGUGUGAGAUGCCACCACUGAGAGCCGACUCACAAAGCCAACACAGCAUUCGCCCGCUGGGAUAACACUGGAUGAGCAAUGCUACAGGGCUGGGGACAUUGCUCAGGGAGCUGAAGCUGGGCUCCUUGUCUCCAAGAGGUUUAGUAGUCCCAGGGAUUCAGCAGAGGACAGUGUGCAGCUCAUGCCUGUGUGCAACAGCAGGGUGAGGAGCCGGCGUCUGUGCGAGAGAAGCUCUUCCAGAAGCGGAAAUGGGCACGGAGCACUCACAGCAGGACAUCGCCGAGGUCUCUCCUGAGACCUCAUCCUGCUGGCUGUCACCUGUCCCCGGUCCUCUCCUUUGGGAACCCCCCAGCACGUGCCACCACGCAGCAAGCAGACUUAGGUGGGAUUUUUCCUGCUGAAUAAACAGGAGAGGCUGGGAAUGCUCUUUCUCACUUCUGUCUAAGGCCCGAGUCCUGAUGGUUCAAGCCCUCCUGGAUGGCCCUGAGAAAGAUAAGCUAUCUCCCCCAUCUCCCAGCCUGGGAGCAGCAAACAUUCCUGCUUUGUGGAACAGAACCUCUGGCUGACCUAUAUCUAUUAAAUAACAAAAGGGUAAAAAUACUGGCUUUCAGAUAGUUUCUCCUGAGCAUGGCUGCUGCCCAGGGACUCGGCUCUCCAGACACAUCCACCCUCCCAGGAAGUCUGCUCUUCAUCUGUGCUACUCUCCUCUUCCCUGGAAAUCAUCUCCAUCCCCCUUCUGGCCUGUCCCUCUCACCUUUGCAUCCCACCAUCCCAGUCUUUUGUCCCUGAAAUCCUGCAUCUUGUCUUGGGCCGGUUUAAUGGAUACUGGAAAGGCUCUGUGGAGGUUUGCCGAGAUGGUCGGGGCUGAGGACAUGCAAGGAGAGGCAAAGAUCUGGGCCAGGAGGUGACUGGGGUCUCCAGAGCACGGAUCAAGGAUGACCCCAGCAUGGAGAGGUCCGUGAUGAAGGGCCAGCAGCCCUCCUCCUCCUCUUCCUCACAUGAAACCACAAGCUUACCAGGUUUGUCUCCUGCAGGCAUCUACACAAAAAUCUCUGGCUGGACAGCUGGCAAGACAAUACUCACAACCCUUAUUUGGACUCAGCUUUGGGAAAGAGCUGCAGUUGCCCAGCAGCGCUGGAACCCAGGUUGUGAUCACAAACCGGGAAAAGGGGAGGUGUGGGGUUUUUGUAGCCAUGAAGCUGGACUUGGGGAGAAAAUCCAAUUUGCUCCAGCAGAUAUUGCCCCCCUUCCUUGCCUUGAAACCCCCGAUCUGAACCCAAAGCCUCACGUCCCACAGAAAUUUGGGUUCCUCUGUGUUAGUUGCUGAUCCUAUCCCCUCUCUCCUACAGGGAUUUCUGCUGCAUGGAUGUCCCUGUGUUUCCCACCCCGGGGCUCGCGUGGAUCCGGGAUGCGGGGCCGGGACUCCCGGGGAGCGCGGGGUCACGCCGCCCUCUGCCGGCUCGGGGAGGCGGCACCGGGGCUGUCCCCGGCGGCGACACCCGCCCCGACAGCGCCCGUGUCACCCGGGCACCGCACCCCGCACACUCAAAGGGCUGCGGUUCCCUCGGACAGCAGAACUGGAGGUAUUUUAUUCCCGAAAAAAAAGCACAAACAAUAGAGAUAACGCGUGAGAGACGACAGACUCGAAGCAGGGCUGAGAUUCCCAAUGGAAGAAAAAUAAAUGACACAAAUAAGGAAAAAAUGGUUUGAUGGAAUGAGGGACGUGGAGACCGGACUCUUCCCAGAGUGUGUAGUGCUUCCCAGGACCAAACACCCGGCUGGGCACAGGCAGCAUGAGCUGAGUGCUCAGCUCUUGACAGGGGUGGACGCAGCCUUCAUGGUCUUCUUCAGGUGGUGGUAGUUGGGCAGGAUCUUCAUUAGGAAAUCCAGCUGCAGCGUCUGGGGCUGGAAAGGGAGGCAGGGGAGGUGAGAGAACAGCCAGAGGGGACAGGAGCAGCCCGAGGGGACAGGAGGUGGCAGCAUGUCCCCACGCACCUGUGGCCGCUCGGUCUGCACGCGCCGCAGGCAGUCGGCCCCGUAGAUGACGGUGUUUUCGGGGAUCACCUCGUAGGUGUUCACGUUGCAGCAGGCCCCGAUGAUACAGCCGCUCGUCAGGAUCACGUUCCUGCCAACAAACGCUGCCAGGGAGAAGGGAGAGAGGAGUCCCUGUGAGAGCUGUCCCCACAGCAUUUAUAGGAGAAGAAUCUCAGCAGGGCCAAAGGCCCCAAGCUGAGAAUUACCUUUGGAUUCAAUGACGUUGUUGUCUCCUACCUUCAUCGCUUGGGAAUCUACAGGUCUGUGUUAAGUAAAACUGUAAAAUGCUUUGCUUUUUUUCAGCAGGUGAAAAACCCUGAUGCCCUUUUCAAACCACCACCCAAGCCCUGGGCUAUCUGAACCCUGACAGAGUCCCAGAGAUGCCUCUCCCAGGAGGGAUCCAGGAGCACGGUGUGCUGGAUGGUUUGUCACUGCACAGCGAGGAUACAGCACCCGACCUCAAAAACAUUGUUGGUGCCAAUUACCAUGGGCUUGGGCUCCACAUCUUCGCUCUCUGGGGUUAUAUUUUCUGGGUACCUGUAAGAAGGAAGAACAGAUUUCCACGUCUGAGAUCACAAUGACAGUGCUCUGUGGGGCAGCUCAACUUCGUGACAGACUGAAGCCACAAAUAUCCCACCCAGCUGAGCUGGACUGUCAGAAUUUUGAGACUGCUUAGAAUUAGGAUUCUCUGUCAGCUUGAGAAGGAUUCACAGGUGGACUUAGCAACCAGUAUCUGAAGGGGGCCUACAAGGAAACUGGAAACGGACUCUGUCAGGAACUGGAGUGACAGAACAAGAAGUAGUGGGCAGAGACUUAAAGAGGGGAAAAUUAGGUUAGAUAUACAUAAGAAAAUAUUUACUGUGAUGGGGAUAAGAUACUGGAAUAGGUUGCCCAAGGCAAUACUGGCUGCAUCAACCCUGGAAGUGUCCAAGGCCAGGUUGGACAGGGUUUGGAGCAACCUGGGAUAGAGGAAGGCGUCCCUGCCCAUGGCAGGGGCGUGGUAUGAAAUGAUAUUUAAGGUCCCUUCAAACAUUAAACAUUUGUGAUUCUGUGACUUCUCCCCAAGCCACAGUGCCACACGCGUACACAAACCACGAAGUUUGGUGGUUUCCUUUAUAAUAAACUCCACCUCCCCAGGGUUUUUAAGCCCCCAGCGGGUGUCCCACGGACCCGUUGAUGAUGAGCGCCUGCUCCUCGAUCAGGUUCCCCUCUCCGAUGACGAUGGGCCCCGCCUCGGCGAUGAUGCGGGCCUUGGGAUGGAUCACGGUCCGGGGUCCUGCGGGGACAGCCCGGUGUCAGCCCGUGCCCGCACCGCCGGGGGCCGGACCGGGCGGGGGACAGGGCCCUUACCGAUUGUCACGUCCCCGCGGAUCUCGCUCUCCACGCACACCACGGCGCCCGGCGCGAUCUUCACGCUGCGGGGAGCGAUGGGGCGGUCACGGCGGGUGAUCGUGGGAGGGAUCGGGGGAGAACCGGGAGGGAUCGAGGGGGGGGAAAGGGACUCACCUCUUCUGCACCUUCUCCGCCAUGGCCGCGGCAGCGGCGCCUGC